Molecule: ribosomal RNA, 253 nt
Filed under: uncultured bacterium
Lineage: Bacteria
Description: partial 16S ribosomal RNA
Rfam family: Bacterial small subunit ribosomal RNA
Source: RNAcentral
UACGUAGGGUGCGAGCGUUGUCCGGAAUUACUGGGCUUAAAGAGCUCGUAGGUGGUUUGUCGCGUUGUCCGUGAAAACUCACAACUCAAUUGUGGGCGUGCGGGCGAUACGGGCAGACUGGAGUACUGCAGGGGAGACUGGAAUUCCUGGUGUAGCGGUGGAAUGCGCAGAUAUCAGGAGGAACACCGGUGGCGAAGGCGGGUCUCUGGGCAGUAACUGACGCUGAGACGCGAAAGCGUGGGGAGCAAACAGG